GAUGAACGCUGGCGGCGUGCUUAAUACAUGCAAGUCGAGCGAAAAGACGCGGAGCUUGCUCGUCUGACGUUAGCCGCGGACGGGAGAGAAACACGUGUAUCCCCUACCUGUAAGACUGGGAUAACUUGGGGAAACCGGAGCUAAUACGGUAUGAGAUAUUUAUCCGCGGGGUUCACUGGUAAAUUUCGGCUUUUCUGUCACGAAUCGCUGGUUACGCGCCGCAUUAGCUAGUUGGUAAGGUCACAGCCUACCAAGGCGACGAUGCGUAGCCGAACUGAGAGGGUGAUCGGCCACACUGGAACUGAGACACGGCCCAGACUCCUACGGGAGGCAGCAGUAGGGAAUGUUGGGCAAUGGGCGAAAGCCUGACGGAGCAACGCCGUGUGAGUGAUGAAGGCCUUCGGAUCGUAAAACGCUGUUAUUCGGGAAGAACAGAUUUGGAAUUAACCAUGGACCUCUUGACGGUACCGUAUCAAAAAGCACCGGCUAACUACGUG
This 497-nucleotide ribosomal RNA is filed under the name uncultured bacterium. RNAcentral describes it as "partial 16S ribosomal RNA". It matches the Rfam family "Bacterial small subunit ribosomal RNA", at positions 28 to 507 of the family's 1533-position model. The record is from RNAcentral.